This 328-nucleotide long non-coding RNA is filed under the name Elaeis guineensis (African oil palm). Its description in RNAcentral is "long non-coding RNA (EGUI_LNC002922)". The record is from RNAcentral. Lineage: Eukaryota; Viridiplantae; Streptophyta; Magnoliopsida; Arecales; Arecaceae.
GGGGGUGGGGGGCGAGGGCGAGAGAAAGAGAAAGGGGAAGGGCGGUGGUCCGAUGGUAGCACUGGUGGUAACAGUCGUAGGAUCAACAACAGGUGGUAAUGGCAGUGGGUGAUUGGAAGGGCGAAAGAAAAUGAAAUGGGAUGGUUUAGACCAAAAACAGGUGAGUUGAGAAAGGCUCAGCGCUUAGUUCAGCCUCGACUCACUCACCAAUGACCAAGUUUCCAUCGUGAGCUGCAAGGAUCAGGGAAAGAAGGCCGGACAUGCAAGAUGGAGAGUGAGAGAGAUACCCCUCUAUUUGGGAACAGAGGAAGGAGCCAGCAAUUAGAAU